GUCUAUGGCCAUACCUCCCUGAAUGUGCUCGAUCUCAUCUGAUCUCAGAAGCUAAGCUUGGUUAGUACUUCAGUGGAAAGAGGCAAUGGCUU
This 92-nucleotide ribosomal RNA is filed under the name Carlito syrichta (Philippine tarsier). Lineage: Eukaryota; Metazoa; Chordata; Mammalia; Primates; Tarsiidae. The record is from RNAcentral.